This 250-nucleotide unclassified non-coding RNA is filed under the name fungal sp. Its description in RNAcentral is "partial internal transcribed spacer region". The stretch from base 1 to 46 matches the Rfam family "Eukaryotic small subunit ribosomal RNA", at positions 1786 to 1831 of the family's 1831-position model. The record is from RNAcentral. Lineage: Eukaryota; Fungi.
AAGUCGUAACAAGGUUUCCGUAGGUGAACCUGCGGAAGGAUCAUUCUUGUAUAUCAUCAUCAAUUCUGAUGAAUUCAACUCUGUGCACUAUAUAACCAUUGACUGUCGAUUUGGUUAGAAGGCGGCGUGGGCAUCUGUUUACGUGCGCGCUACCGGUCGACUACUCUGUUUACGUACCUGAUAAAACUUUUAUACUUAUAUUAAAAUUGUAAUUAAAAUACAACUUUUAGCAACGGAUCUCUAGGCUCUC